AACGAACGUUGGCGGCGCGCCUAACACAUGCAAGUCGCACGAGAAAGGCAGUAAUGCCCGGUACAGUGGCGCACGGGUGAGUAACACGUGGGUAACGUUCCCUUGAGCGGGGGAUAACCUUCCGAAAGGAGGGCUAAUACCGCAUAAGACCACGAGCUCUACGGGGCUUGAGGUAAAAGCUGGCCUCUGUAUACAAGCUAGCACUUAAGGAUCGGCUCGCGGCCCAUCAGCUAGUUGGCGGUGUAAAAGACCACCAAGGCGAAGACGGGUAGCUGUUCUGAGAGGAUGAUCAGCCACACUGGAACUGAGACACGGUCCAGACUCCUACGGGAGGCAGCAGUGGGGAAUCUUGCGCAAUGGGCGAAAGCCUGACGCAGCGACGCCGCGUGGGUGAUGAAGGCCUUCGGGUUGUAAAGCCCUGUGGGGAGAGAAGAAUAAACUUGGUCGAAUACACCAAGCGAUGACGGUAUCUCCUUAGCAAGCACCGGCUAACUCUGUGCCAGCCGCCGCAGUAACAC
RNAcentral lists this ribosomal RNA (518 nucleotides) under uncultured bacterium. RNAcentral's name for it is "bacterial SSU rRNA". It matches the Rfam family "Bacterial small subunit ribosomal RNA", at positions 29 to 526 of the family's 1533-position model. The record is from RNAcentral.